GUUGAUCCCGCCGGACCCACACUGCUAUCGGGAUGGGACUAAGACAUGCAUAGCUCGUGCGCCUCCAAGCCACGGUGGAGGUGCGGCGCACAGCUCANAUAACACGUGGCUAACCUACCCUUGGGACGGGGACAACUCCGGGAAACUGGAGCUAAUUCCCGAUAGGUGAGGACUCCUGGAAUGGGUCUUCACCGAAAAGACGCCUAAACCAUGCCUUUAGGCGCCGCCCAAGGAUGGGGCCGCGGCCGAUCAGGUUGUUGGUGAGGUAACGGCUCACCAAGCCUAUAACCGGUACGGGCCGUGGGAGCGGGAGCCCGGAGAUGGGCACUGAGACAAGGGCCCAGGCCCUACGGGGCGCAGCAGUCGCGAAACCUCCGCAAUACACGAAAGUGUGACGGGGCCAUCCCGAGUGCCAUCCGUUGAGGAUGGCUUUUCCCCAGUGUAGACAGCUGGGGGAAUAAGGAGAGGGCAAGCCGGGUGUCAGCCGCCGCGGUAAUACCCGCUCUCCGAGUGGUGGGGACGCUUAUUGGGCCUAAAGCAUCCGUAGCCGGCUGGAUAAUUCCCCUGUUAAAUCCAGCGAUUCAAUCGUUGGACUGCGGGGGAUACUGUCCAGCUAGGGGGCGGGAGAGGCCGACGGUAUUCCCGGGGUAGGGGUGAAAUCUUAUAAUCCCGGGAGGACCACCAGUGGCGAAGGCUGUCGGCUAGAACGCGCCCGACGGUGAGGGAUGAAAGCUGGGGGAGCUAACCGGAUUAGAUACCCGGGUAGUUCCCAGCUGUAAAACGAUGCAAGGCUAGUUGUUAACGCNGG
RNAcentral lists this ribosomal RNA (808 nucleotides) under uncultured archaeon. RNAcentral's name for it is "bacterial SSU rRNA". It matches the Rfam family "Archaeal small subunit ribosomal RNA", at positions 7 to 783 of the family's 1478-position model. The record is from RNAcentral.